GAUCAGACGAGACUACCCGCUGAAUUUAAGCAUAUCACUAAGCGGAGGAAAAGAAACUAACNAGGAUUCCCGUAGUAACGNGAGUGAAGCGGGAAGAGCCCAGCGCCGAAUCCCACGGCUCGUAGUCGCUGGGAACUGUGGCGUAUAGGACAGCCUCUGUGCCGCGUUCGGGUGCCCGAGUCCUCCUGAUCGGGGCCUUUCCCAGAGCGGGUGUUAGGCCUCUACAGGCAUCUGACGCGGUAGCUCUGAGCGUCCUCAGAGUCGGGUUGUUUGGGAAUGCAGCCCAAAGCAGGUGGUAA
This 299-nucleotide ribosomal RNA is filed under the name Acanthochitona sp. RNAcentral's name for it is "partial 28S ribosomal RNA". It matches the Rfam family "Eukaryotic large subunit ribosomal RNA", at positions 9 to 302 of the family's 3401-position model. The record is from RNAcentral. Lineage: Eukaryota; Metazoa; Mollusca; Polyplacophora; Chitonida; Acanthochitonidae.